AUGAACGCUGGCGGCGUGCCUAAUACAUGCAAGUCGAGCGCACAGACGAGGAGCUUGCUCCUCUGACGUUAGCGGCGGCCGGGUGAGUAACACGUGGAUAACCUACCUAUAAGACUGGGAUAACUUCGGGAAACCGGAGCUAAUACCGGAUAAUAUAUUGAACCGCAUGGUUCCAUAGUGAAAGACGGUUUUGCUGUCACUUAUAGAUGGAUCCGCGCCGCAUUAGCUAGUUGGUAAGGUAACGGCUUACCAAGGCAACGAUGCGUAGCCGACCUGAGAGGGUGAUCGGCCACACUGGAACUGAGACACGGUCCAGACUCCUACGGGAGGCAGCAGUAGGGAAUCUUCCGCAAUGGGCGAAAGCCUGACGGAGCAACGCCGCGUGAGUGAUGAAGGUCUUCGGAUCGUAAAACUCUGUUAUUAGGGAAGAACAAAUGUGUAAGUAACUAUGCACGUCUUGACGGUACCUAAUCAGAAAGCCACGGCUAACUACGUG
Molecule: ribosomal RNA, 496 nt
Filed under: uncultured bacterium
Lineage: Bacteria
Description: partial 16S ribosomal RNA
Rfam family: Bacterial small subunit ribosomal RNA
Source: RNAcentral